Molecule: ribosomal RNA, 253 nt
Filed under: uncultured bacterium
Lineage: Bacteria
Description: partial 16S ribosomal RNA
Rfam family: Bacterial small subunit ribosomal RNA
Source: RNAcentral
UACGGAAGGUCCGGGCGUUAUCCGGAUUUAUUGGGUUUAAAGGGAGCGUAGGCCGGAGGGUAAGCGUGUUGUGAAAUGCAGUUGCUCAACAUCUGCACUGCAGCGCGAACUGUUCUCCUUGAGUGCGCAGGAAGUAGGCGGAAUUCGUCGUGUAGCGGUGAAAUGCUUAGAUAUGACGAAGAACUCCGAUUGGGAAGCCAGCUUACUGUAGCGCCACUGACGCUGAUGCUCGAAAGUGCGGGUAUCGAACAGG